AUGGCCUCCCAACGAGGGCCAACGUCGCCGGCGCCAGUGGCCACCACCACCGCCAUUACUGCUAUCUGCGACGACCUCCUCUGCGAGAUCUUCCUCCGCCUCCCCUCCCUCCCGAGCCUCGUCCGCGCCGCCCUCGCCUGCCGCGCCUUCCUCCAUGCGGUCCGAUCGUCUCCCGCCUUCCGCCGCCGCUUCCGGGCGGUCCACCCGCCCCAAAUCCUUGGAUUCUUCAACGGGCAAACAGGUAUUCAUUCCCUCAUUCCCCUCGACGGCCGGUCCGACCAUGACCUAGCCGCGGCCGUCCACGGCAGCGAUUUCCGCUUCAUCCGGCUCCCGAAAGACAGAGACGAGUCCAGGUCCAGGUGGGAGAUCCUCAAUGGCUGCCGCGACCGCUGCGGCUACGUCUUCCUCUGCAACGAGGACACCAACCAGAUAGCUGCCUACAACCCCCUCAAGUGGGCGCUGUAUAUCUUCCCCUACCCUCCCCAACAGGCAUGCGAUCCCCACUGCCUUGAUUUCCACAUCAUCUUCUCCGAGGAUGGCCAGAGGUCGUUCCGUGUGGUCUGUGUGCAGCAGAAGUUGGCUCGCUUCUCUGUCUUCUUAUCGGAUAGCAGGGAGUGGCAGAGUUUCUCUUGGGUGGCGCAGCCUGGGUACGAUGGAGGCGACAACUGUGUGCUCUCGUCUUACACUGAUACUGUGAUGAACGAAUUUGAUAGAUUAGCCUUCUGGAAAGACAAAAAUACAGGGUAUAUUGUCGUGCUCAACACUGUGACGCUGCAAAUAUCUCGAAUGGAUUUGCCGCAGCCGUUGAAAGAUAAAGACUCCACGCAAUUUGAACUUGGCCGGACCAACGCUGGGAAGCUUUGCAUGGUUUGCGCAGAUGGCUUCGGUGCCGACAAAACAAUGAUCGCGGUUUGGAUUUGGAGAGCCGAUGGUGAUGGUGUUGACAGGUGGAUGCAGCACAAGGUGUUCCCACUGAACACGUUUAUUGACGUCACGACGUGCUCAGCGGAGUAUGGUGUCAUCGUGGUGCAGGUUGUGGUGGUCAUCGAUGGAUUUGUGUUCCUGUGUAUUGAUUUUGGCAGCCUUACCAAGUUCUUCCUGUCUUUCUGCCUGGAAACGGAGAAUGUAAACGAGUUCUUCAAUCAUACAUUUCACAACGAUAUCCAUCCCUAUAUCAUGGCGUGGCCUCCUUCAUUGCUAAGCAACAAGGAGAAUUCAGAAACCAACAUUACUGGAGGCGAUGCGACAGAUGAUGGUCCUAUGGGUACAGAAGAAACUCUCUCUGUUCUCGGUGGCGGAGAAAGCAUCCAAACAAUUCGUGUACAGAGUCCCCUAAAGAUCACAGUUUUACUCGAGCGUAGAAAUUUAUUUAAUGUAUACUGUUCUUGA
This 1389-nucleotide ribosomal RNA is filed under the name Triticum aestivum (bread wheat). RNAcentral describes it as "partial small subunit ribosomal RNA". Lineage: Eukaryota; Viridiplantae; Streptophyta; Magnoliopsida; Poales; Poaceae. The record is from RNAcentral.